AUUGAACGCUGGCGGCAGGCUUAACACAUGCAAGUCGAACGGUAACAGGAAGAAAGCUUGCUUUCUUUGCUGACGAGUGGCGGACGGGUGAGUAAUGCUUGGGAAUCUGUUUCAUGGAGGGGGAUAACUACGGGAAACUGUAGCUAAUACCGCGUAAUAUCGAGAGAUUAAAUGUGUGGGACCGCAAGGCCACAUGCCAUGAAGUGAGCCCAAGUGGGAUUAGAUAGUUGGUGAGGUAAUGGCUCACCAAGUCGGCGAUCUCUAGCUGGUCUGAGAGGAUGACCAGCCACACUGGGGCUGAGACACGGCCCAGACUCCUACGGGAGGCAGCAGUGGGGAAUAUUGCACAAUGGGCGCAAGCCUGAUGCGGCCAUGUCGCGUGAAUGAAGAAGGCUUUCGGGUUGUAAAGUUCUUUCAUUAGUGAGAAAGGUAUAAAUGUUAAUAGCAUUUGUAAUUGAUGUUAGCUAAAGAAGAAGCACCGGCUAACUCCGUGCCAGCAGCCGCGGUAAUACGGAGGGUGCGAGCGUUAAUCGGAAUAACUGGGCGUAAAGGGCAUGCAGGCGGUUACUUAAGUCAGAUGUGAAAGCCCCGAGCUUAACUUGGGAAUUGCAUUUGAAACUGGGUGACUAGAGUCCUCUAGGGAGGGGUAGAAUUCCACGUGUAGCGGUGAAAUGCGUAGAGAUGUGGAGGAAUACCGAAGGCGAAGGCAGCCCCUUGGAGAGAGACUGACGCUCAUAUGCGAAAGCGUGGGUAGCAAACAGG
RNAcentral lists this ribosomal RNA (762 nucleotides) under uncultured bacterium. RNAcentral describes it as "bacterial SSU rRNA". It matches the Rfam family "Bacterial small subunit ribosomal RNA", at positions 28 to 776 of the family's 1533-position model. The record is from RNAcentral.